This 69-nucleotide transfer RNA is filed under the name Tonicia forbesii. RNAcentral describes it as "tRNA-Gln". Lineage: Eukaryota; Metazoa; Mollusca; Polyplacophora; Chitonida; Chitonidae. The record is from RNAcentral.
UAAAAAGUAGUGUAAUUUGCUCGUAGGGUUUUGAUCUCUAAGGAAAAAACUAAAUGUUUUUCUUUUUAA